CCAUAGAAACAUAGUUUGCCUAGUGAUCUGUACUGUUUAACUCUCCGGUAGGGGCAAAUCAUGUCUGAUACCACUCAUUGGGUGAUAUUUAAGAACAAUAUGGAUCUUCCCAUAGCAAUGAUUUUCUUUUGGAGUUGCAAGUCCUGGCUGUCAAUAAAGGGGCUUUUGAGAUUAAUCCUGUAUGCAGUUCCUUAAGGAGAUAGCAGACAUUUUUUUUUUCAUUCCUGAGAUCAUUAGAGCAGCACAUGGACUACUUAAUGUAAUUCCAGUCAAUAACACCCAUUAGUAAACCACUCUUCCCACCUUCAGUUGGCUUUGUGUUUGAUUCUAGUAUUUACACUGGGUUUAUAACCCUAGAGUUUAAAUAUCCCACUCCUAAAAAUGCAUAUGCCAUCCAUAAAGUUGUUCCAAUGGAUAUGGAAUACAGCAGCUUGCAUCCUGAGUAAUACUUACAAGAAAGAACUUUCUAGUUUCUUGAUUUCCUGUUCGCUAUCCGUUUUCCUGCUAGGUCUCAAAUCCAGUUCAGGGCUGUAGAGUUCACAGUACUCCGAGUUCUUGAAUGAAUAGUUGCAUUCUGGUUUAGUAACUCAAUUUUUUUUUGCAGUUAGUUCCAAGAAAUGUGGAGCUGCCCACUUCAAGGAUAAGACUGGAUGGCUAGAUGGAAUGUUUGUUCAAGGAAAUGGAUUUUAUUUCUGUAUCGUAUUACUGGAAGCAUAGUCAGCUGAAGACUGAGAUUUGCUGUUGUGCAGCCUGAAACUAAGGAUUCAUGCAGAAAAUCAAGGUAAGGGUCUGUGGUUUUGAUGCACUGUACACUUGUGGUGCAAGUUCAAUAUUACAGCAUCCUAUAUGUGGAGAGAGUGUUGACAGCUCCCAGCCACGAGAUUAAUACUGAAGAACAAAUGACAAAGAAUCAGCAGAAGAGUGAUUGCUUCAUAUUUCUCUUGAAGUGCAGCAGAACUUAAGAAAAUGCUUUGCCUGUGUCUGAGCUAAUAUGGAUUAAGUUGUAAGUUCGUGGACAAGAAGAAAUCAGAGUACUGUGCAAAACAUCUAACAAGGUGAUCAGAUACUUGCGUUCUGCAUUUGCUGCUGAAACAGGAGCUCUUCAGUUGUUCCCAGCCCUGGCAUUGUGUAAUUCCAGAACAACCCGUUGCGGCAUUGUGGAAAGCACACUGAAUAUUCUUUCCCUCACCAGUGAGGAAUGGCGUUUGUAAAAAAAAAGAUGGAAGCUACUGCCCCUUCAGUGGGUGAAUACUGAAACUCAACUACAAGGCAGUAAAUGACUCAGCACCUUCUUCCAAAAUGAGGUAGAUCAGGUUCACUUCAACCACUGUGGGAACAAUAAACUGAACUGACUGACAGUGAUGUCUCAAGUCCCUCUACCAUGACAAGUAUUUGUCACAUCAUAUGCAGUAUAAGUAGCUUUAUAUUUUACAGGACAGGAACUCUCGAUUGAAUUCAGCUGAGAUGCACAAAUACAACAGACUUAAUUUGGAGAACAUCAUUAUUUUAGUUUCUGCAUUUGGCACAUUUUCAAGAAAGUAUGCAGUGUGUGAAGUAUAUAAAAUAGCAUAUGGUGGGGUAAAGUGAAAAAACAAUGUAUUUUUUUGGAACCGCCUGCCCAACAUAUUCAAGACUUUAAAGUUUUAUUACGUGGGCCAUCCCAUGCUCCUUCCAACUGAAUAUACAUAUGCUCCUGUAAGAGAAGUAAUCCAUUACUUUUGAAUGUCACCAAAUUUUGGAGCAAGAUCUAAGCAGUAGUUGAUAAUUCUCUGCAUAUAAGAGCCAAAAUUUCUCAUUAAGUUGU
Long non-coding RNA from Harpia harpyja (harpy eagle), 1804 nucleotides. RefSeq lists it as uncharacterized. The transcript is spliced from 8 exons. The record is from RefSeq and is a predicted model, not a curated record. Lineage: Eukaryota; Metazoa; Chordata; Aves; Accipitriformes; Accipitridae.